This 207-nucleotide ribosomal RNA is filed under the name uncultured bacterium. Its description in RNAcentral is "partial 16S ribosomal RNA". It matches the Rfam family "Bacterial small subunit ribosomal RNA", at positions 568 to 774 of the family's 1533-position model. The record is from RNAcentral.
CUCGUAGGCGGUUCGUCGCGUCCGGUGUGAAAGUCCAUCGCCUAACGGUGGAUCUGCGCCGGGUACGGGCGGGCUGGAGUGCGGUAGGGGAGACUGGAAUUCCCGGUGUAACGGUGGAAUGUGUAGAUAUCGGGAAGAACACCAAUGGCGAAGGCAGGUCUCUGGGCCGUUACUGACGCUGAGGAGCGAAAGCGUGGGGGGCGAACA